UGGGGAAUUUUGGACAAUGGGCGAAAGCCUGAUCCAGCAAUGCCGCGUGUGUGAAGAAGGCCUUCGGGUUGUAAAGCACUUUUGUCCGGAAAGAAAUCCUUGGCUCUAAUACAGUCGGGGGUAUGACGGUACCGGAAGAAUAAGCACCGGCUAACUACGUGCCAGCAGCCGCGGUAAUACGUAGGGUGCAAGCGUUAAUCGGAAUUACUGGGCGUAAAGCGUGCGCAGGCGGUUUGCUAAGACCGAUGUGAAAUCCCCGGGCUAACCUGGGAACUGCAUUGGUGACUGGCAGGCUAGAGUAUGGCAGAGGGGGGUAGAAUUCCACGUGUAGCAGUGAAAAUGCGUAGAGAUGUGGAGGAAUACCGAUGGCGAAGGCAGCCCCCCUGGGCCAAAUACUGACGCUCAUGCACGAAAAGCGUGGGGAGCAAAACAGGAUUAGAUACCCUGGUAGUCCACGCCCUAAAACGAUGUCAACUAGUUGUUGGGGGAUUCAUUUCCUUAGUAACGUAGCUAACGCGUGAAGUUGACCGCCUGGGGAGUACGGUCGCAAGAUUAAAAACUCAAAUGAAUUGACGGGGUCAUAGCUGUUUCCU
Molecule: ribosomal RNA, 593 nt
Filed under: uncultured bacterium
Lineage: Bacteria
Description: partial 16S ribosomal RNA
Rfam family: Bacterial small subunit ribosomal RNA
Source: RNAcentral